RNAcentral lists this ribosomal RNA (434 nucleotides) under uncultured Pseudobutyrivibrio sp. Its description in RNAcentral is "partial 16S ribosomal RNA". It matches the Rfam family "Bacterial small subunit ribosomal RNA", at positions 341 to 792 of the family's 1533-position model. The record is from RNAcentral. Lineage: Bacteria; Bacillati; Bacillota; Clostridia; Lachnospirales; Lachnospiraceae.
ACGGGAGGCAGCAGUGGGGAAUAUUGCACAAUGGGCGAAAGCCUGAUGCAGCGACGCCGCGUGAGCGAAGAAGUAUUUCGGUAUGUAAAGCUCUAUCAGCAGGGAAGAUAAUGACGGUACCUGACUAAGAAGCACCGGCUAAAUACGUGCCAGCAGCCGCGGUAAUACGUCUGGUGCAAGCGUUAUCCGGAUUUACUGGGUGUAAAGGGAGCGUAGGCGGUUUUACAAGUCUGAUGUGAAAGCCCGGGGCUCAACUCCGGUAUUGCAUUGGAAACUGUAGAACUAGAGUGUCGGAGGGGUAAGUGGAAUUCCUAGUGUAGCGGUGAAAUGCGUAGAUAUUAGGAGGAACACCAGUGGCGAAGGCGGCUUACUGGACGAUUACUGGCGCUGAGGCUCGAAAGCGUGGGGAGCAAACAGGAUUAGAUACCCUGGUA